Molecule: ribosomal RNA, 492 nt
Filed under: uncultured bacterium
Lineage: Bacteria
Description: bacterial SSU rRNA
Rfam family: Bacterial small subunit ribosomal RNA
Source: RNAcentral
GAUGAACGCUAGCUACAGGCUUAACACAUGCAAGUCGAGGGGAAACGACAUCGAAAGCUUGCUUUUGAUGGGCGUCGACCGGCGCACGGGUGAGUAACGCGUAUCCAACCUGCCCACCACUUGGGGAUAACCUUGCGAAAGUAAGACUAAUACCCAAUGACGUCUCUAGAAGACAUCUGAAAGAGAUUAAAGAUUUAUCGGUGAUGGAUGGGGAUGCGUCUGAUUAGCUUGUUGGCGGGGUAACGGCCCACCAAGGCAACGAUCAGUAGGGGUUCUGAGAGGAAGGUCCCCCACAUUGGAACUGAGACACGGUCCAAACUCCUACGGGAGGCAGCAGUGAGGAAUAUUGGUCAAUGGGCGAGAGCCUGAACCAGCCAAGUAGCGUGCAGGAUGACGGCCCUAUGGGUUGUAAACUGCUUUUAUAAGGGAAUAAAGUUAGUCUCGUGAGACUUUUUGCAUGUACCUUAUGAAUAAGGACCGGCUAAUUCCGUG